Stegastes partitus (bicolor damselfish) is the source of this 1073-nucleotide long non-coding RNA. RefSeq lists it as uncharacterized. NCBI's taxonomy places the organism in Eukaryota, Metazoa, Chordata, Actinopteri, Pomacentridae. The record is from RefSeq and is a predicted model, not a curated record. The transcript is spliced from 2 exons.
CCCGGAGCAGGGAGCCGACACGGUGGUGUGGCUGGCCGUCUCCGAGGCCGCCGCCGCAAACGCCAGCGGACGCUUCUAUCAGGACCGGAAGAUGGUGUCCACCCACCUGCCGCUGGCCUGGACCCACAGCUCCUCUCUGGAGGAGCAGAAGUUAAUGUCACUACUGGAGGACUUGGCCAAGACGUUCCAGCCACACUGAGUCCGCAGCCAACUGGGCACAGGUACACCACCGACACUAACGCCACCAGUUCGUACUGACCGAGGCUGGGCCCAGUGGUUCCUCACCGCGCUGCCCCAGCAGAGGGAGGGGAACAGAUCUGUUUAAUGUGAAGUAUCUGGAGUGGUAACACCGUCUGUGAUCGCUGGCUUGAAGUGGAACAAAUAAGAAGACGUUUCUGUGAGUGCUAAGAUGUGUUUUGGGAAACCCAGCCUUCCGAUGACAGAUUAAAGCCGCCUCUCCUUGAGACAUUAAUGACGUUCGUAAUGCUUUUUUUUUAGCCAUUUAUAUGAUAACAACUUUUAUCAUUUAUGAGCUUAACUGUCUAAGGACUAAACAUGUCAUUGUAUGAGUGUUUGACAGUGAUGCUGCCGUUCAGAUGGAUCGCUGAUGGAGAGAACGCUCGUAAACCACACACACACACACACACACACACACACACACACAACCCAGUCUGUCUUUGUGACUUAAUUACCGUUGUCAAUCAGAUGGGAAUCUGAUGUGGCCAGAGUCACUCACACACCAGCUCUGGGUUCUAUGUCAUGCUUGUGUUUUAAUGACUUACAGAUGUGCCAGGUGAUGUGCGUUUAGUCGUGGUGUCAGUAACUUGUCUAUCUGUUGUAUUGUAGCGUAGCGUAGCGUAGUGACUGUACUGUACAGGUUGAACCCAGACUGGAGACGCAGCGUUCUCUCCCUCAGCCUUGAACACAACACAGCAGCACCACUUGACAUGUGCAGUGUAAUCUAUACAUUCAUGACUUGGUGAUAUCUGCCCAGCACCUUUACCUUCACUGACUGUGACUCUGGCUUGAGUUGAUCUUGUAAACGCAUGCUUUAAUAAAGACACUUACUGAUG